CGGGGUGAGUAACGCGUGGGUAACCUGCCUCAUACAGGGGGAUAACAGUUAGAAAUGACUGCUAAUACCGCAUAAGCGCACAGAAUCGCAUGAUUCGGUGUGAAAACUCCGGUGGUAUGAGAUGGACCCGCGUCUGAUUAGCUAGUUGGGUGGGGUAAAGGCCUACCAAGGCGACGAUCAGUAGCCGACCUGAGAGGGUGAUCGGCCACAUUGGGACUGAGACACGGCCAAACUCCUACGGGAGGCAGCAG
This 251-nucleotide ribosomal RNA is filed under the name uncultured bacterium. RNAcentral's name for it is "partial 16S ribosomal RNA". It matches the Rfam family "Bacterial small subunit ribosomal RNA", at positions 100 to 354 of the family's 1533-position model. The record is from RNAcentral.